ACACAAACACGUGGGGGGUGGGUUGGCUUUGGAAGAAGCUAGCCAAUUCUCUUCGUGGGCAGUUGACCUAUGAUUAGGAUUGUCUAGGCAUUGCUUGUGUGUGCACGGUGCGAGCCCAAUGCACAAGUAAGUCGAGGAUGACACUCUUAAAAGUAGCAAUGAUACCACAAAAUAUCGGUUGCCUUCAGAGUGGUGGGCGAGUGGUGAGUCGGAGUGUCAUCAGUAAAGUUUAACCUUGGUGUGCACAGUUGUUUUUAGAAACUCAAUCCAAUACCAGGGACUUUGAAAGUAACACUCUUAUGAGUUACGAACCCACAACAUCUAUGUUGCCUAGCUACCUAGAUUUCAUGGUAUUCUUAUCAUGCCUAGCCGUGUGUGCUUGGCUCCACUCAGUGUAGCUACAUUCUUCUUGGUUAGCCAUUGUGCUUGUUGAGAUGUGUGGUUCAUUUGGUGGUGUUGAGCUUUGCUAAAGCAACGGCAUGUGAGUGGUGAAUGGGUUGUAUGCACCAGCGGGCUCUUUGCUCUGGCAUUGAACUGUUGUCUCAUACACCUCGUCAUUUAUGUUUCAAGAUUGACUUGUGCGGGUUAAUGGGCUCCUGUUUUGGCUACCUAUUGUUAAGGAAUGGUGCCUCUCAUUGUCCCUUUCCUCCUCUUGCCCUUCGCGGGCAGCAGGAGGAUGUCGUAGUAGUGCUUGAGUCCCGAUUAAGCCACGCCUCAUCAUGAGAUUGUGAAGGUCCAUAAGUUUCUGCUUGUGAUCUCGGAUGAGGAGCAAUAAGUGGGCAUGGGGUCUUUGGCGUCCGAUCGUCCAAUUUGAAGCGUUUUUGCUCGACACGUACGACUGUCGUGCCUACGGUGAGCUCUCGACCCAUAAGGUCAUUUAUCUUGCACGGUGCCGACUUUGGAAAGGAACGCUACUUGGUUGAUCCUGCUAGUAGUCAUAUGCUUGUCUCAAAGAUUAAGCCAUACAUGUGUAAGUAAGAACUAACUGUGAAACUACGAAUGGCUCAUUAAAUCUGUUAUAGUUUGUUUGAUGAUAUCUACUACUCGGAUAACCAUAGUAAUUCUAGAGCUAAUAUGUGCAACAAACCCUGACUUGUGGAACGGAUGCAUUUACUAAAUAAAAGGCUGAUGAGGGCUCUACCCAUUGCUCUGAUGAUUCAUGAUAACUCGACGGAUCAUGCUGGCGACGCAUCAUUCAAAUAUCUGCCCUACGCACGCUACGACAAUCGGUGGUUGUGAAACCUCAAUUGCCUAUCGUGUGUGGUCGUUGCACAUCGAGGGCUUGAAAAAAUACUUGGCUCUGGCUUAGCUUUCAACGCAACCCCAGAUUAGGUGGGGUUACCCGGGGAGGAAAAGAAACUUACUAGGAUUUCCCUAGUAACGGCGAGCGAAUUAGGAAUAGCCUAGCUUGAGAAUCGGCGCCCAUGGCUUCCGAAUUGUAGUUUGGCGAAGCGUCCUCAGUGGUGGAUCGGGCCCAAGUCCACUGGAAGGUGGCGUUGGAGAGGGUGAGAGCCCCAUUGUGUUCAGACCCUGUCGCACCACGAGGCGCUGUCGGUGAGUCGGGUUGUUGGGGAUUGCAACCCGAGCGUACCCAUUACUGCAUCAGGUCUCCAAGGUGAACAACCUCUGGUCGAUACAACAAUGUAGGCAAGGGAAGUUGGCAAAAGGAUUGGCUCUGAGGGUUGGGCACGGAGUCCCAGUCCCGAACCCGUCGGCUAUGGGUGGACUGCACGAGCUGCUCCGACGGCUGGGGGACGAACUGGGAGCGUUCCUUCAAGGACUUUCCCUGGGUGUCGAACAACUGCCUCAGAACUUGUAUGGACAAGGGGAAUCCAACUAUUUAAUUCAAACAAAGCAUUGCAAUGGUCCCUUCAGAUGCUAAUGCAAUGUGAUUUCUGCCCAGUGCUCUGAAUUUCAAAGUGAAGAAAUUCAACUAAGCGCGGGUAAACGACGAGAGUAACUAUGACUCUCUUAAUGUAGCCAAAUGCCUGGUCAUCUAAUUAGUGAUGCGCAUGAAUGGAUUAAUGAGAUCCUCACUGUCCCUGUCUACUAUCUAGCAAAACCAUAGCCAAGGGAAUGGGCUUGGUAGAAUCAGCGAGGAAAGAAGACCCUGUUAAGCUUGACUUUAGUCAGACUUUGUGAAAUGACUUGAGAUGUGUAGUAUAAGUGGGAGCUUCGGCGAAACUGAAAUACCACUACUUUUAAAGUUAUUUUACUUUAACGGAGGCGAGUCAUCGCCCCUCUUUUUGGACCUAAGGCCGACCUUGCGUCGGCCAAUCAGGGUGGAAGACAUUGUCAGGUGAGGAGUUUGGCUAGGGCGGCACAUCUGUUAAAAGAUAGCACAUGUGCCCUAAGAUGAGCUCAACGAGAACAAAAAUCUCAUGUGGAACAAAAGGGAAAAAGCUCGUUUGAUUCUGAUUUCCAGUACGAGUACGACCCAUGAAAGCGUGGCCUAAUGAUCUUUUAGACCUUCAGAAUUUGAAGCUAGAGGUAUCAGAAAAGUUACCACAUGGAUAACUGGCUUGUGGCAGCCAAGCGUUCAUAGCGACGUUGCUUUUAUAUCCUUCUAUGUCGGCUCUUCCUAUCAUUGUGAAGCACAAUUCACCAAGUGAUGGAUUGUUCACCCACCAAUAGGGAACGUGAGCUGGGUUUAGACCGUCGUGAGGCAGGUUAGUUUUACCCCACUGAUAAUAGUGUCACAAUAGUAAUUCAACCUAGUACGAGAGGAACCAUUGAUUCGCACAAUUGGUCAUCGCACUUCUUUGAAAAGCCAGUGGAGCGAAGCUACCAUGCGCUAGAUUAUGACUAAACGCCUCUAAGUUAGAAUUUGGGCUAGAAGCGACGCAUGCGCCCACCGCCUGUUUGCCAACCCUUAGUAGGGGCCCAAGGCCCCAAAAGGCACGUGUCGUUGGUGAAGCCCUUGCCGUGAGCGAGCUGCGAGGGCCGCCUUAAAUUACAAUUUCUACCGAGCGGUGGGUAAAAUCCUUUGCAGAUGACUUAAAUACGCAAAGGGGUAUUGUAAGUGGCAAAGUGGCCUUGCUGCCACAAUCCACUGAGAUUCA
This 3062-nucleotide ribosomal RNA is filed under the name Prunus avium (sweet cherry). Its description in RNAcentral is "eukaryotic LSU rRNA". The stretch from base 1319 to 3062 matches the Rfam family "Eukaryotic large subunit ribosomal RNA". The record is from RNAcentral. Lineage: Eukaryota; Viridiplantae; Streptophyta; Magnoliopsida; Rosales; Rosaceae.